CCUACGGGUGGCAGCAGUGAGGAAUAUUGGUCAAUGGGCGCGAGCCUGAACCAGCCAAGUAGCGUGAAGGAUGACUGCCCUACGGGUUGUAAACUUCUUUUAUAAAGGCAUAAAGUGAGGCACGUGUGCCUUUUUGUAUGUACUUUAUGAAUAAGGAUCGGCUAACUCCGUGCCAGCAGCCGCGGUAAUACGGAGGAUCCGAGCGUUAUCCGGAUUUAUUGGGUUUAAAGGGUGCGUAGGCGGGCCUUCAGGCCGGCGGUAAAAUUGCGGGGCUCAACCCCGCCGAGCCGUCGGAACCGGGGGCCUUGAGUACCGGAGAAGUACGCGGAAUGCGUGGUGUAGCGGUGAAAUGCAUAGAUAUCACGCAGAACCCCGAUUGCGAAGGCAGCGUACCGGCCGGUCACUGACGCGGAGGCACGAAAGCGCGGGUAUCGAACAGGAUUAGAUACCCCAGUAGUC
Molecule: ribosomal RNA, 459 nt
Filed under: uncultured bacterium
Lineage: Bacteria
Description: partial 16S ribosomal RNA
Rfam family: Bacterial small subunit ribosomal RNA
Source: RNAcentral